Long non-coding RNA from Ahaetulla prasina, 2808 nucleotides. RefSeq lists it as uncharacterized. The transcript is spliced from 3 exons. The record is from RefSeq and is a predicted model, not a curated record. Lineage: Eukaryota; Metazoa; Chordata; Lepidosauria; Squamata; Colubridae.
GCAAAUUCUGCCAUUAACCAUGUGGCAGUCAGGAGCAUUCAUGGCAAAAAAAUGAAAUACCAUAUUUUUCGGUGUAUAAGACUCACCGUUUUACCUCAAAAAACAGGGUGAAAAUCUGGGUGCGUCUUAUAUGCCAAAUGUAGCCCUGCCCAGAAAGCUGUGCGUGUGCAAAGAUGGUGGCAGCAACCGGAGGUCUUUUCGGCAUCCUGCGCAAGUGGAUGGGUGGAAAAGAAGCCUCUCAGCUUCCAAGUUCAGCAGCAGGCUCGGUCCCUUCACAGGGUCACUUUUUUCUGCACCCGAGAAAGAUCAAAAGUUGCGGAGCAACCUUUAAGGAGAAAGUUGGGAUAGCUGCCUAGACGAGGUAUAUUCGAUUCAUUGCUUCUUCCUCCUCCCAAUUUUCAUCAUUCUCAGAAACCUCCAUGGCCCAAUCAGGUUCUGUUGAGUGCGAUGGACUCCACUUGUCUUUCAGAUGUCGGCAGCAGAGUCAUCAGACGCUUCUGCAGCUCUGGCUUCCUCGACCACAUCUUUAAAGAUUAGCCAUUUGCAGCAGGCAUGCAAAUGGGUGCUCCGUACGUCCCUACAGAACUACAGUGGCCUCCAUAAUUCUCAAACAAAAAAACCAGGACUCCUCUAAGAGCUGGUCGCUCAGUCAAACUGAGCAAUUGGGGAAGAAGGACUUUAGUAACAAAGGUGACCAAGAACCUGAUGGUCACUCUGAUUGAGCCCCAGAGAUCCUGUGUGGAGAUGGGACAGAGUUCCAGAAGUACAACCGUCACUGCAGCCCUCCACUGAUCUGGGCUUUAGGGCAGAGUGACUAGACAGAAAUCUCUCCUCAGUAUAAAACACAUGAAAGCCCAUUUGGAGUUUGCAAAAAGGCACCUGAAGGACUCUCAGACUGUAAGGAACAAGAUUUUCUGACCUGAUAAAACCAAGAUUGAACUGUUUGGUCUCAAUUCUAAAUGUAAGGUCUGGAGGAAACCAGGCACCGCUCAUCACCUGCUCAAUAUCAUCCCAAAAGUGAAGCAUGGUGGUAGCAGCAUCAUGCUCUGGGGGUGUUUCUUAGCAGCAGGGACUGGGAGACUGGUCAGGGUUGAGGGAAAGCUGAAUGGAGCAAAGUACAGGAAUAUCCUCAAUGAAAACCCAUUGGGAAAGAGAACCUAAACACUAAGUACAAGCUUGAGGGACAUUACCUUACAGAUGACCUCCACCCUGUUAAAGACCUUGGAGUUUUCAUAUCAAAUGAUUUAUGUGCCAAAGCCCUCUGCAACUACAUAGCAAAAAAGGCUCUAAGAGUUGUAAACCUAAUUUUACGCAGCUUCUUUUCCAAAAACUCUACACUACUAACCAGAGCUUACAAAACAUUUGCUAGACCUAUUCUUCAAUACAGCUCACCUGUCUGGAACCCAUAUCACAUCUCUGACAUUAAUACAAUUGAACGCAUCCAGAACAGAGGUGGGUUUCAGCAGGUUCUGACCAGUUCUGGAGAACCGGUAGCGGAAAUUUUGAGUAGAUCGGAAAAUUGGUAGUAAAAAUUCUGACUGGCCCCGCCCCCAUCUAUUCUCUGCCUCCCAAGCCCCAGCUGAUCGAGAGGAAAUGGGAAUUUUUGCAGUAACCUUCCCCUGGAGUGGGGUGGGAAUGGAGAUAUUAUAGUAUCCUUCCCCUGGAGUGGGGUGGGAAUGGAGAUUUUACAGUAUCCUUCCCCUGCCAUGCCCACCAAGUCAUGCCCACCAAGCCAUGCCAUGCCCACCAGGCCAUACCCACAGAACCGGUAGUAAAAAAAAUUGAAACCCACCACUGGUCCAGAAAUAUUUUACAAGAAGAGUUCUCCACUCCUCUGAAAACAACAAAAUACCUUAUACCACCAGACUUGAAAUCCUGGGAAUACAAAACUUAGAACUCCGCCGACUCCGACAAGACCUGUGUUUAACACACAGAAUCAUCUAUUGCAAUGUCCUUCCUGUUAAAGACUACUUCAGCUUCAAUCGCAAUAAUACAAGAGCAAACAAUAGAUUCAAACUUAAUGUUAACGCUUCAAUCUUGAUUGCAGAAAAUAUGACUUCUGUAACAGAGUUGUUAAAGCUUGGAACGCACUACCUGACUCUAUGGUCUCUUCUCAAAAUCCCCAAAACUUCAACCAAAAACUGUCCACUAUUGAGCUCACCCCAUUCCUAAGAGGACUAUAAGGGGCGUGCAUAAGAGCACAAAAGUGCCUACCGUUCCUGUCCUAUUGUUCCCUUUCAUUAUAUCAAAUUAAUAUAGUUGUUGCAUACUUUUGCUUAUAUAUAUGUUUAUAUGAUGUGUUGUUGCUUUAUGUUGAUGUUUGUGUAUACUGUUGUGACAAAAUAAAAAUAAAUAAAUAAAUAAAAAACCCUGCUCCACAGUGCUCAGGACCUCAGACUGGACUAAAGGUUCAUUUCCAACAUGACAAGGAUCCUAAGAACACAGGCAAGACAACAUAGGAGUUUACGGACAACCCUGUGAAUGUCCUAGAGUGGCCCAGACAGACCCCUGACUUGAACCCUAUUGAUCAUCUCUAGAGGGACCUGAAAAUGGCUGUCCAUCAACAGUCACCAUCCAACCUGACUGAGCUUGAGAGGAUUUGCAAAGAAGUAUGCCAGAAAAUCCCCCAAUCCAGAUGUGCAAAGCUUUGUCACGUCAUACCCAAAAAGACCCAAGGCUGUAAUUGCUGCCAAAGGUGCUUCAACAAAGUUCUGGGUGAAGGGUCUGAAUACUUAUGCCAAUGUGAUAUUUCAGGUUUUUUUUCCUUUUUAAUACAUUUACAGACAUUUCUAAAAUUCUGUUUUUACU